RNAcentral lists this ribosomal RNA (870 nucleotides) under uncultured bacterium. RNAcentral's name for it is "bacterial SSU rRNA". It matches the Rfam family "Bacterial small subunit ribosomal RNA", at positions 1 to 859 of the family's 1533-position model. The record is from RNAcentral.
GGCUUAGAGUUUGAUCAUGGCUCAGGACGAACGCUGGCGGCGUGCCUAAUACAUGCAAGUAGAACGCUGAAGAAAGGAGCUUGCUUCUUUUGGAUGAGUUGCGAACGGGUGAGUAACGCGUAGGUAACCUGCCUUGUAGCGGGGGAUAACUAUUGGAAACGAUAGCUAAUACCGCAUAACAGCUUUUGACACAUGUUAGAAGCUUGAAAGAUGCAAUUGCAUCACUACGAGAUGGACCUGCGUUGUAUUAGCUAGUAGGUAGGGUAACGGCCUACCUAGGCGACGAUACAUAGCCGACCUGAGAGGGUGAUCGGCCACACUGGGACUGAGACACGGCCCAGACUCCUACGGGAGGCAGCAGUAGGGAAUCUUCGGCAAUGGGGGCAACCCUGACCGAGCAACGCCGCGUGAGCGAAGAAGGUUUUCGGAUCGUAAAGCUCUGUUGUAAGAGAAGAAUGUGUGUGAGAGUGGAAAGUUCACACAGUGACGGUAACUUACCAGAAAGGGACGGCUAACUACGUGCCAGCAGCCGCGGUAAUACGUAGGUCCCGAGCGUUGUCCGGAUUUAUUGGGCGUAAAGCGAGCGCAGGCGGUUUAAUAAGUCUGAAGUUAAAGGCAGUGGCUUAACCAUUGUUCGCUUUGGAAACUGUUAAACUUGAGUGCAGAAAGGGAGAGUGGAAUUCCAUGUGUAGCGGUGAAAUGCGUAGAUAUAUGGAGGAACACCGGUGGCGAAAGCGGCUCUCUGGUCUGUAACUGACGCUGAGGCUCGAAAGCGUGGGGAGCAACAGGAUUAGAUACCCUGGUAGUCCACGCCGUAACGAUGAGUGCUAGUGUUAGGCCCUUUCNGGGCUUAGUGCCGCAGCUAACGCA